GAUGAACGCUGGCGGCGUGCCUAAUACAUGCAAGUAGAACGCUGAAGGAAGGAGCUUGCUCUUUCCGGAUGAGUUGCGAACGGGUGAGUAACGCGUAGGUAACCUGCCUGGUAGCGGGGGAUAACUAUUGGAAACGAUAGCUAAUACCGCAUAACAGUAGAUGUUGCAUGAUAUCUACUUAAAAGGUGCAAUUGCACCACUACCAGAUGGACCUGCGUUGUAUUAGCUAGCUGGUGAGGUAACGGCUCACCAAGGCGACGAUACAUAGCCGACCUGAGAGGGUGAUCGGCCACACUGGGACUGAGACACGGCCCAGACUCCUACGGGAGGCAGCAGUAGGGAAUCUUCGGCAAUGGACGGAAGUCUGACCGAGCAACGCCGCGUGAGUGAAGAAGGUUUUCGGAUCGUAAAGCUCUGUUGUAAGAGAAGAACGAGUGUGAGAGUGGAAAGUUCACACUGUGACGGUAUCUUACCAGAAAGGGACGGCUAACUACGUG
Molecule: ribosomal RNA, 497 nt
Filed under: uncultured bacterium
Lineage: Bacteria
Description: partial 16S ribosomal RNA
Rfam family: Bacterial small subunit ribosomal RNA
Source: RNAcentral